Molecule: long non-coding RNA, 949 nt
Organism: Dromaius novaehollandiae (emu)
Lineage: Eukaryota; Metazoa; Chordata; Aves; Casuariiformes; Dromaiidae
Exons: 3
Source: RefSeq, a predicted model, not a curated record
CCAAGACCUCGCCUGCCCCAGGAGGGCUCAUCGGACGGGCAUAGCAGGGACGAGACACCUCCGCCAGCCACCACGACCAUCUGCAGCUGGGGAUGACCUUGGGAGAGGCAGCCUCGGCCUCGAGCGAUCCUUUUUGCACUUGAUGCAGCAGCUAAAUCAGAUGAUUCUGAAAAAGAACCGAUUAGUAUUUCUGAUCGGUGCUGACUCAUGGAGCUGAUGCAAUUCCUUAUUUCAACCAGGAGCAGGUGAGUGGGUUGCUUGCUGCAUCACCUGAGCUUACCUGCAUCAAAGAACAAGAAGUGCUUUAUACCUUAUUGCAGCAACUGCGCCGAAGUACAGUGCAUAACCAGGGGAACAAAAAGUGCCGUAACUCCAGCUCUGCCCAAGGCUAAUACUCAGAAGUGGCGUCCUCUGCCCAGUGUGCAGCCUGGAGAUGAAGUUAUGCCUUUCCUCCAGCAGCAGGUCAGCUGACACCGCUACGGACCAUCCACGGGGGGAUCUGGCCUCGAGAGCUGUAGCUGGAGGCAGAUGAAGUUAGAGGCAUGAUAUUACUGGUUUGAAGGUUUAUGUAUUUUAGUGUAACCUGUGAUCUCUUCUCUCCUGUUACUUUUAUUUAUGGCUUAGUAUUUGAUAAAGUGUAGAUUUUUUUUAUUGUACAAUUUACAAUUUUUUGUAUGUUUGUGUACAUUUUAUGUACUUUUUUUGUAAAUUUAUGUAGAAGUAUUUGCAUUUUUGUACAAUUCUUUACAAUUUUUUUCAAUAUUGUGCACUUUCAAAAUCAUGUUACAGCCACCAUAAAUCCUGUUACAUCCAUCCACAAGACUAUACGUUAGAUUUGCUGUUGGCGUCUGCAAUCAUUUGCCCAUUAGCUUUGCUCACCCAUUCCGGUUUUCCCUAUCUGUCUGAGCUGAACGCCUUCAGCUGAUGUCCAUCGAGAGAGAAAAAUAAA